Molecule: non-coding RNA, 28 nt
Filed under: Homo sapiens (human)
Lineage: Eukaryota; Metazoa; Chordata; Mammalia; Primates; Hominidae
Source: RNAcentral
UGCUGGGGUCCUGUGUGUCGUGCAUUGU